GAACGCUGGCGGCAUGCCUAACACAUGCAAGUCGAACGGCAGCGCGGGGAGCUUGCUCCCUGGCGGCGAGUGGCGGACGGGUGAGUAAUGCGUAGGGAUCUGCCUAGAGGAUUGGGAUAGCCUGGGGAAACCCAGGGUAAUACCAAAUGUGCCUUACUGGGAAAGCAUGGGACCUUCGGGCCAUGCGCCUUUAGAUGAACCUACGUUGGAUUAGCUUGUUGGUGGGGUAAAGGCCUACCAAGGCAUCGAUCCAUAGCUGGUCUGAGAGGAUGAUCAGCCACACUGGGACUGAGACACGGCCCAGACUCCUACGGGAGGCAGCAGUGGGGAAUAUUGGACAAUGGGCGCAAGCCUGAUCCAGCAAUGCCGCGUGUGUGAAGAAGGCCCUCGGGUUGUAAAGCACUUUCAGUAGGGAAGAAAAGCCGGGCGCUAAUAUCGCCCUGUGCUGACGUUACCUACAGAAGAAGCACCGGCUAACUCCGUG
This 484-nucleotide ribosomal RNA is filed under the name uncultured bacterium. Its description in RNAcentral is "bacterial SSU rRNA". It matches the Rfam family "Bacterial small subunit ribosomal RNA", at positions 31 to 507 of the family's 1533-position model. The record is from RNAcentral.